AACGAACGCUGGCGGCAUGCCUAACACAUGCAAGUCGAACGAGACCUUCGGGUCUAGUGGUGCACGGGUGCGUAACGCGUGGGAAUCUGCCCUUGGGUUCGGAAUAACAGUUGGAAACGACUGCUAAUACCGGAUGAUGACGUAAGUCCAAAGAUUUAUCGCCCAAGGAUGAGCCCGCGUAGGAUUAGCUAGUUGGUGAGGUAAAGGCUCACCAAGGCGACGAUCCUUAGCUGGUCUGAGAGGAUGAUCAGCCACACUGGGACUGAGACACGGCCCAGACUCCUACGGGAGGCAGCAGUGGGGAAUAUUGGACAAUGGGCGAAAGCCUGAUCCAGCAAUGCCGCGUGAGUGAUGAAGGCCUUAGGGUUGUAAAGCUCUUUUACCCGGGAUGAUAAUGACAGUACCGGGAGAAUAAGCUCCGGCUAACUCCGUG
This 433-nucleotide ribosomal RNA is filed under the name uncultured bacterium. RNAcentral describes it as "partial 16S ribosomal RNA". It matches the Rfam family "Bacterial small subunit ribosomal RNA", at positions 29 to 507 of the family's 1533-position model. The record is from RNAcentral.